RNAcentral lists this ribosomal RNA (253 nucleotides) under uncultured bacterium. Its description in RNAcentral is "partial 16S ribosomal RNA". It matches the Rfam family "Bacterial small subunit ribosomal RNA", at positions 524 to 776 of the family's 1533-position model. The record is from RNAcentral.
GACAGAGGGUGCGAACGUUGUUCGGAAUUACUGGGCGUAAAGCGGGUGUAGGCGGUUCUUUUAGUCAGCUGUGAAAUCCUGCGGCUCAACUGCGGAACUGCAUCUGAUACUGGGGAACUUGAGGACGGUAGAGGUCGGUGGAAUCCCCGGUGUAGCGGUGAAAUGGGCAGAUAUCGGGGGGAACACCAGUGGCGAAGGCGGCCGACUGGGCCGAUCCUGACGCUGAGACCCGAAAGCCAGGGUAGCGAACCGG